GACGAACGCUGGCGGCGUGCUUAACACAUGCAAGUCGAGCGGUAAGGCCCUUUCGGGGGUACACGAGCGGCGAACGGGUGAGUAACACGUGGGUGACCUGCCCUCAGCUCUGGGAUAAGCCCGGGAAACUGGGUCUAAUACCGGAUAUGACUCCAUGACGCAUGUUGUGGGGUGGAAAGCCUUGUGCGGCUGAGGAUGGGCCCGCGGCCUAUCAGCUUGUUGGUGGGGUGAUGGCCACCAAGGCGACGACGGGUAGCCGGCCUGAGAGGGCGACCGGCCACACUGGGACUUAGAUACGGCCCAGACUCCUACGGGAGGCAGCAGUGGGGAAUCUUGCGCAAUGGGCGAAGCCUGACGCAGCGACGCCGCGUGAGGGAUGACGG
RNAcentral lists this ribosomal RNA (383 nucleotides) under uncultured bacterium. RNAcentral describes it as "bacterial SSU rRNA". It matches the Rfam family "Bacterial small subunit ribosomal RNA", at positions 28 to 414 of the family's 1533-position model. The record is from RNAcentral.